GCUGGGCGUGGUGGCGCAUGCCUGUAAUUCCAGCCUCUCAAUAGGCUGAGAUAGGAGGAUCACAAGUUCAAAGCCAGCCUCAGCAACUUAGGGAGGCACUAGCAACUCAGUAAGACCCUGUCUCUA
This 126-nucleotide small RNA is filed under the name Marmota monax (woodchuck). The record is from RNAcentral. Lineage: Eukaryota; Metazoa; Chordata; Mammalia; Rodentia; Sciuridae.